GAUGAAGAACGCAGCGAAAUGCGAUAACUAAUGUGAAUUGCAGAAUUCCGUGAAUCAUCGAGUCUUUGAACGCACAUUGCGCCCCCUGGUAUUCCGGGGGGCAUGCCUAUCCGAGCGUCAUUGCUGCCCAUCAAGCACGGCUUGUGUGUUGGGUCCCGUCCCCCUCUCCCGGGGGACGGACCCGAAAGGCAGCGGCGGCACCGCGUCCGGUCCUCGAGCGUAUGGGGCUUUGUCACCCGCUCUUGUAGGCCCGGCCGGCGCUUGCCGACACCCAACCAUUUUUUUCAGGUUGACCUCGGAUCAGGUAGGGAUACCCGCUGAACUUAAGCAUAUCAAUAAGCGGAGGA
This 347-nucleotide unclassified non-coding RNA is filed under the name soil metagenome. RNAcentral's name for it is "partial contains 5.8S ribosomal RNA, internal transcribed spacer 2, and large subunit ribosomal RNA". The stretch from base 1 to 120 matches the Rfam family "5.8S ribosomal RNA", at positions 35 to 154 of the family's 154-position model. The record is from RNAcentral.